UACGGGGGGGGCAAGCGUUGUUCGGAAUUACUGGGCGUAAAGGGCUCGUAGGCGGCCAACUAAGUCAGACGUGAAAUCCCUCGGCUUAACCGGGGAACUGCGUCUGAUACUGGAUGGCUUGAGAUUGGGAGAGGGAUGCGGAAUUCCAGGUGUAGCGGUGAAAUGCGUAGAUAUCUGGAGGAACACCGGUGGCGAAGGCGGCGUUCUGGACUGCAACUGACACUGAUGAACGAAAGCCAGGGGAGCAAACGGG
Molecule: ribosomal RNA, 253 nt
Filed under: uncultured bacterium
Lineage: Bacteria
Description: partial 16S ribosomal RNA
Rfam family: Bacterial small subunit ribosomal RNA
Source: RNAcentral